This 466-nucleotide ribosomal RNA is filed under the name uncultured bacterium. Its description in RNAcentral is "partial 16S ribosomal RNA". It matches the Rfam family "Bacterial small subunit ribosomal RNA", at positions 28 to 507 of the family's 1533-position model. The record is from RNAcentral.
GAUGAACGCUGGCGGCGUGCUUAACACAUGCAAGUCGAACGAUGAAGCCCAGCUUGCUGGGUGGAUUAGUGGCGAACGGGUGAGUAACACGUGAGUAACCUGCCCUUGACUCUGGGAUAAGCCUGGGAAACUGGGUCUAAUACUGGAUAUGACUUCUCAUCGCAUGGUGGGGGGUGGAAAGAUUUAUUGGUCUUGGAUGGACUCGCGGCCUAUCAGCUUGUUGGUGAGGUAAUGGCUCACCAAGGCGACGACGGGUAGCCGGCCUGAGAGGGUGACCGGCCACACUGGGACUGAGACACGGCCCAGACUCCUACGGGAGGCAGCAGUGGGGAAUAUUGCACAAUGGGCGCAAGCCUGAUGCAGCGACGCCGCGUGAGGGAUGACGGCCUUCGGGUCGUAAACCUCUUUCAGUAGGGAAGAAGCGAGAGUGACGGUACCUGCAGAAGAAGCGCCGGCUAACUACGUG